AUUGAACGCUGGCGGCAUGCCUUACACAUGCAAGUCGAACGGCAGCACGGGAGCAAUCCUGGUGGCGAGUGGCGAACGGGUGAGUAAUAUAUCGGAACGUGCCCAGUCGUGGGGGAUAACGUAGCGAAAGCUACGCUAAUACCGCAUACGAUCUAUGGAUGAAAGCGGGGGAUCGCAAGACCUCGCGCGAUUGGAGCGGCCGAUAUCAGAUUAGGUAGUUGGUGAGGUAAAGGCUCACCAAGCCGACGAUCUGUAGCUGGUCUGAGAGGACGACCAGCCACACUGGGACUGAGACACGGCCCAGACUCCUACGGGAGGCAGCAGUGGGGGAAUUUUUGGACAAUGGGCGGCAAGCCUGAUCCAGCAAUGCCGCCGGUGCAGGAUG
Molecule: ribosomal RNA, 385 nt
Filed under: uncultured bacterium
Lineage: Bacteria
Description: bacterial SSU rRNA
Rfam family: Bacterial small subunit ribosomal RNA
Source: RNAcentral